CUUUUUAACGGUUAAGUUAGAAAGGGCGCACGGUGGAUGCCUUGGCACUAGGAGCCGAUGAAGGACGGGACGAACACCGAUAUGCUUCGGGGAGCUGUAAGCAAGCUUUGAUCCGGAGAUUUCCGAAUGGGGAAACCCACCACUCGUAAUGGAGUGGUAUCCAUAUCUGAAUACAUAGGAUAUGAGAAGGCAGACCCGGGGAACUGAAACAUCUAAGUACC
Molecule: ribosomal RNA, 221 nt
Filed under: Bacillus amyloliquefaciens
Lineage: Bacteria; Bacillati; Bacillota; Bacilli; Caryophanales; Bacillaceae
Description: partial 23S ribosomal RNA
Rfam family: Bacterial large subunit ribosomal RNA
Source: RNAcentral